CCAGGGUAGCCCCUGAGAAGUUGGGACACGGUCCUGCGGUAGAUAAGAGACAGAGUCUAGCAGGAAUCCCCUCCGCUUGCGGGUAGGAAGCUUGGGGAGCAGCCUCAUGGAAGAGAAGCAGAUCCUGUGCGUGGGGCUGGUGGUGCUGGACAUCAUCAAUGUGGUGGACAAAUACCCAGAGGAAGACACGGAUCGCAGGUGCCUAUCCCAGAGAUGGCAGCGUGGAGGCAACGCGUCCAACUCCUGCACUGUGCUUUCCUUGCUCGGAGCCCGCUGUGCCUUCAUGGGCUCGCUGGCCCAUGGCCAUGUUGCCGAGUAAGUUAGGAGGGAGUACCUGGUAGAGGGAUAGAGCACCUUGUCUGCAGAGUAUAGGGAGAGCUGCCUGAACCCUGGGCGGGCUGGAUGGAGGAAUGGUUGGUGGGUGGUGGCCCACAGGGGAGUCUCAGAUCCUUCAGGGGUGGUCCACCUGCUGUUCAGAUACUAACAUGACUCCUGUAAGGUUCCAUUUCUACAGCUUGCUGCAGAGUCCGCUUAGGCUCCCCACCACCCACUUUCUUCCUUGCUUCCUGUAGACUCUGCCUUUGCUCUUCUCAUGUACCUUAUCCUGGCUGUGUUUGAGGUAAAAGGCAGGGAGGAACAUGCUGUGCCCUUCUCUGCUUAAGGGGCAUCCAGUAUCCAUGGUUACAGGAUGAAGGCCCUCAUUGAGGAUUAGGGCCACUGCUCCUGUCUUCAUUGUAAGUACUAAGAGUACACUCCUUGGGACAUCCUGAGGUCACAUAUUAACACUGGGUCCCAAACCCAUUUGCUCUGGAGGCUGAGUUCCACAAGUGACCCACGCGCCUUCUCCAUGCCAACCACUGCAAAGACCCAAGAGCCCUUUGACUCCUGGCACUGUCAGCUCAGCACACUUAUCAGGAGGUGUGGCCUACACUUUGCCCACUGCAGGCCCUGGAGUGCUUUGCCAGGUUGCUGGACUCUAAAACAUGGCCCUUUGAACCCUAGUCUGAGGGGCUGUUGCCAGCCAAAUUCCCAGUCUUGGAGAACUGGAGCAAAACUAACAGAGCAAGAGACCUGGUCCCCGAGAUGGGACAGUCAUUCCUUCCUAGGUGGAAGCAGGACCCUGGUUCUCGUUUCGGAUGGUGGACUCUCCUUUAUAGAGUAGUCAUAUUGGUGGGUGAGCCAUUGAGAAUUCUCUUGGGGUUGGGGAUUUAGCUCAGUGGUAGAGCGCUUGCCUAGCAAGCGCAAGGCCCUGGGUUCGGUCCCCAGCUCCAAAAAAAAAAAAAAAAAA
This 1288-nucleotide long non-coding RNA is filed under the name Rattus norvegicus (Norway rat). RNAcentral describes it as "long non-coding RNA NONRATT024864". The stretch from base 1203 to 1271 matches the Rfam family "tRNA". The record is from RNAcentral. Lineage: Eukaryota; Metazoa; Chordata; Mammalia; Rodentia; Muridae.